RNAcentral lists this ribosomal RNA (37 nucleotides) under Oryza sativa Indica Group (long-grained rice). RNAcentral's name for it is "18S ribosomal RNA". Lineage: Eukaryota; Viridiplantae; Streptophyta; Magnoliopsida; Poales; Poaceae. The record is from RNAcentral.
GAAGUCGUAACAAGGUAGCCGUAGGGGAACCUGCGGA